AGAUUGAACGCUGGCGGCAGGCCUAACACAUGCAAGUCGAGCGGCAGCACGGGUACUUGUACCUGGUGGCGAGCGGCGGACGGGUGAGUAAUGCCUAGGAAUCUGCCUGAUAGUGGGGGAUAACGUUCGGAAACGGACGCUAAUACCGCAUACGUCCUACGGGAGAAAGUGGGGGAUCUUCGGACCUCACGCUAUCAGAUGAGCCUAGGUCGGAUUAGCUAGUUGGAGGUAAAGGCCUACCAAGGCUACGAUCCGUAACUGGUCUGAGAGGAUGAUCAGUCACACUGGAACUGAGACACGGGUCCAGACUCCUACGGGA
This 319-nucleotide ribosomal RNA is filed under the name uncultured soil bacterium. RNAcentral's name for it is "bacterial SSU rRNA". It matches the Rfam family "Bacterial small subunit ribosomal RNA", at positions 26 to 346 of the family's 1533-position model. The record is from RNAcentral.